AAUAGAUACCCAGGUAGUCCACGCCGUAAACGAUGAGUGCUAAGUGUUAGAGGGUUUCCGCCCUUUAGUGCUGCAGCAAACGCAUUAAGCACUCCGCCUGGGGAGUACGGUCGCAAGACUGAAACUCAAAGGAAUUGACGGGGGCCCGCACAAGCGGUGGAGCAUGUGGUUUAAUUCGAAGCAACGCGAAGAACCUUACCAGGUCUUGACAUCCUUAUGCCAUCUCUAGAGAUAGAGCUUUCCCUUCGGGGACAUAAGUGACAGGUGGUGCAUGGUUGUCGUCAGCUCGUGUCGUGAGAUGUUGGGUUAAGUCCCGCAACGAGCGCAACCCUUGAUCUUAGUUGCCAGCAUUCAGUUGGGCACUCUAAGGUGACUGCCGGUGACAAACCGGAGGAAGGUGGGGAUGACGUCAAAUCAUCAUGCCCCUUAUGACCUGGGCUACACACGUGCUACAAUGGAUGGUACAAAGGGCAGCGAAACCGCGAGGUUAAGCCAAUCCCAUAAAACCCAUUCUCAGUUCGGAUUGCA
This 528-nucleotide ribosomal RNA is filed under the name uncultured bacterium. Its description in RNAcentral is "bacterial SSU rRNA". It matches the Rfam family "Bacterial small subunit ribosomal RNA", at positions 777 to 1302 of the family's 1533-position model. The record is from RNAcentral.